This 513-nucleotide ribosomal RNA is filed under the name uncultured bacterium. Its description in RNAcentral is "bacterial SSU rRNA". It matches the Rfam family "Bacterial small subunit ribosomal RNA", at positions 8 to 518 of the family's 1533-position model. The record is from RNAcentral.
AGAGUUUGAUCCUGGCUCAGGAUGAACGCUAGCUACAGGCUUAACACAUGCAAGUCGAGGGGUAGCAGGGUAGCAAUACCGCUGACGACCGGCGCACGGGUGAGUAACACGUAUCCAACCUUCCCAUAACUCAGGGAUAGCCUUUCGAAAGAAAGAUUAAUACCUGAUAGUACUUUUUCAAGGCAUCUUGAGAAAGUUAAAGAUUUAUUGGUUAUGGAUGGGGAUGCGUUCCAUUAGAUAGUUGGUGAGGUAACGGCUCACCAAGUCUUCGAUGGAUAGGGGUUCUGAGAGGAAGGUCCCCCACAUUGGUACUGAGACACGGACCAAACUCCUACGGGAGGCAGCAGUGAGGAAUAUUGGUCAAUGGGCGAGAGCCUGAACCAGCCAAGUAGCGUGAAGGAUGAAGGUCCUAUGGAUUGUAAACUUCUUUUAUAGUAGAAUAAAGUGAUCCACGUGUGGAUUUUUGUAUGUAUACUAUGAAUAAGGAUCGGCUAACUCCGUGCCAGCAGCCGC